UACGGGGGGAGCAAGCGUUGUUCGGAUUUACUGGGCGUAAAGGGCGCGUAGGCGGCCAGCACAAGUCAGUUGUGAAAUCUCCGGGCUUAACUCGGAAAGGUCAACUGAUACUGUGCGGCUAGAGUGCAGAAGGGGCAACUGGAAUUCUCGGUGUAGCGGUGAAAUGCGCAGAUAUCAGGAGGAAUACCGAUGGCGAAGGCAGGUCUCUGGGCUGACACUGACGCUCAUGCACGAAAGCGUGGGGAGCAAACAGG
RNAcentral lists this ribosomal RNA (254 nucleotides) under uncultured bacterium. Its description in RNAcentral is "partial 16S ribosomal RNA". It matches the Rfam family "Bacterial small subunit ribosomal RNA", at positions 524 to 776 of the family's 1533-position model. The record is from RNAcentral.